GACGAACGCUGGCGGCGUGCCUAAUACAUGCAAGUAGAACGCUGAAGCGAGGAGCUUGCUCUUCUUGGAUGAGUUGCGAACGGGUGAGUAACGCGUAGGUAACCUGCCUUGUAGCGGGGGAUAACUAUUGGAAACGAUAGCUAAUACCGCAUAACAAUGGAUGACACAUGUCAUUUAUUUGAAAGGGGCAAUUGCUCCACUACAAGAUGGACCUGCGUUGUAUUAGCUAGUAGGUGAGGUAAUGGCUCACCUAGGCGACGAUACAUAGCCGACCUGAGAGGGUGGUCGGCCACACUGGGACUGAGACACGGCCCAGACUCCUACGGGAGGCAGCAGUAGGGAAUCUUCGGCAAUGGGGGCAACCCUGACCGAGCAACGCCGCGUGAGUGAAGAAGGUUUUCGGAUCGUAAAGCUCUGUUGUAAGUCAAGAACGGGUGUGAGAGUGGAAAGUUCACACUGUGACGGUAGCUUACCAGAAAGAGACGGCUAACUACGUG
RNAcentral lists this ribosomal RNA (497 nucleotides) under uncultured bacterium. RNAcentral describes it as "partial 16S ribosomal RNA". It matches the Rfam family "Bacterial small subunit ribosomal RNA", at positions 28 to 507 of the family's 1533-position model. The record is from RNAcentral.